AUUGAACGCUGGCGGCAUGCUUUACACAUGCAAGUCGAACGGCAGCGCGGUCUUCGGCCUGGCGGCGCGUGGCGCACGGGUGAGUAAUACAUCGGAACGUGCUCAGUAGUGGGGGAUAGCACGGCGAAAGCCGGAUUAAUACCGCAUACGACCUGAGGGUGAAAGCGGGGGAUCUUCGGACCUCGCGCUAUUGGAGCGGCCGAUGGCAGACUAGCUAGUUGGUGGGGUAAAGGCCUACCAAGGCGACGAUCUGUAGCUGGUCUGAGAGGACGACCAGCCACACUGGGAGUGGGACACGGCCCAGGCGACUACGAGAGGCAGCAGUGGGGAAUGGUAGACAGUGGGCGAAAGCCUGAUCCAGCAAGGCCGCGUGUGUGAUGAAGGCCUUCGGGUUGUAAAGCACUUUUGGCGGGAACGAAAAGGACUGUGCCAAUACCACGGUUGGAUGACGGUACCCGCAGAAUAAGCACCGGCUAACUACGUG
RNAcentral lists this ribosomal RNA (484 nucleotides) under uncultured bacterium. Its description in RNAcentral is "partial 16S ribosomal RNA". It matches the Rfam family "Bacterial small subunit ribosomal RNA", at positions 29 to 507 of the family's 1533-position model. The record is from RNAcentral.